UGAAACCACAAGGCCUCGGAUUUACUGA
Molecule: small RNA, 28 nt
Filed under: Bombyx mori (domestic silkworm)
Lineage: Eukaryota; Metazoa; Arthropoda; Insecta; Lepidoptera; Bombycidae
Description: ovarian small RNA-3514
Source: RNAcentral